CGGUACCCUAACCGUGCGAAGGUAGCAUAAUCACUUGUUCUUUAAAUGAGGACUUGUAUCAACGGCACCACGAGGAUUAUACUGUCUCCCCUUUCUAAUCAGUGAAACUGAUCCCCCCGUGAAGAAGCGGGGAUAAGCUUAUAAGACGAGAAGACCCCAUGGAGCUUUAAACCAGUAUGCACCUCUGCACAACAAAUCAGCUUAGCCACAAAGGUAUGUAUACUUGCUUUAGGUUGGGGUGACCGCGGAGUAAAACUAAACCUCCACGACAAAUGGGCUAAAGCCCUAAUCCAUGAAUCACAUUUCUAAGAACUAAUAAAUUAAUGUCCAAUGACCCAAUUAUUUGAUCAACGAACCAAGUUACCCUGGGGAUAACAGCGCAAUCUACUUCAAGAGCCCCUAUCGACAAGUAGGUUUACGACCUCGAUGUUGG
Molecule: ribosomal RNA, 433 nt
Filed under: Amolops mahabharatensis (Mahabharat torrent frog)
Lineage: Eukaryota; Metazoa; Chordata; Amphibia; Anura; Ranidae
Description: Amolops sp. JRK-2020 partial large subunit ribosomal RNA
Rfam family: Bacterial large subunit ribosomal RNA
Source: RNAcentral